GCCCCUGUAGUGUAGCUCGGCCGAUCAUCGUGGACUGUCACUCCAUGGACCCGGAUUCAAAUUCCGGCGGGGGCG
RNAcentral lists this transfer RNA (75 nucleotides) under archaeon. RNAcentral describes it as "tRNA-Asp". It matches the Rfam family "tRNA". From Rfam's summary of the family: Transfer RNA (tRNA) molecules are approximately 80 nucleotides in length. RNAcentral also lists the same sequence under 3 other names. The record is from RNAcentral.